This 646-nucleotide long non-coding RNA is filed under the name Medicago truncatula (barrel medic). RNAcentral describes it as "long non-coding RNA (MTRU_LNC002597)". Lineage: Eukaryota; Viridiplantae; Streptophyta; Magnoliopsida; Fabales; Fabaceae. The record is from RNAcentral.
GGUGUAGUGCUGCUGGAUAGUAUCAAUGUCCAAACCUUUCAGCUUCACCACAGAUUCAACAUGUCCCUUGAGUGUGUGAAGCUCACGAAGCCUGUAAAAAGCAUAGAUGAAACGGAAUUAAUCUUUGUAUAGAUAGUAAUGAUGAUGAUUAUACAUAUAUUUGUAAUCUCAGAAGUGAAUGGCAGGCAUGGCUGCUUACCUUGCAACUUCAGCUCUUCUCUUCGCUUGCUCAGCAAUCUCGGACAGUUCUCUGUAACUGCUCUUCUCAUUGAAAAUACCAGAACUUUCUGGUGGUUGAAGUCCAUGUAGAGUCCUCUGAGCAUGUGCCCAUUGAGCUUCCCUCUCCUCUUUUCCAUAGUCUUUCUUGGUGGUGAAUGCAGUCUGUCACGUAUUAUAAAACAACCAAUUCAUGAAUAUCUUCAUUCACUAUUUUGAGAAACACAAAAAGAGUAGGUUAAUGAAUGAAUGAAUCAAUCAAUCAAUACCUUGUUGUCUAGGAGAUUGUUCCAAGCCUUGCCACUCAAUAUGUAGCGGAUGGCAAACUUCAUCACGUCGAGUGGAAUAUAGAAGACAAUGCUGUAGAGCCAGAUUACUCCUGCCCAACCCCAACCAAUUCCUUGUACCUUUGCGAAUCCCCAGUUGGCAU